UACGAAGGGGGCUAGCGUUGCUCGGAAUCACUGGGCGUAAAGGGUGCGUAGGCGGGUCUUAAGUCAGGGGUGAAAUCCUGGAGCUCAACUCCAGAACUGCCUUUGAUACUGAAGAUCUUGAGUUCGGGAGAGGUGAGUGGAACUGCGAGUGUAGAGGUGAAAUCGUAGAUAUUCGCAAGAACACCAGUGGCGAAGGCGGCUCACUGGGUCAUUACUGACGCUGAGGCACGAAAAGCGUGGGGGAGCAAACAGGG
Molecule: ribosomal RNA, 254 nt
Filed under: uncultured bacterium
Lineage: Bacteria
Description: partial 16S ribosomal RNA
Rfam family: Bacterial small subunit ribosomal RNA
Source: RNAcentral